Molecule: unclassified non-coding RNA, 234 nt
Filed under: uncultured fungus
Lineage: Eukaryota; Fungi
Description: sequence contains ITS1, 5.8S rRNA gene
Rfam family: 5.8S ribosomal RNA (bases 186-234)
Source: RNAcentral
UCUCCGUUGGUGAACCAGCGGAGGGAUCAUUACUGAGUUUACAACUCCCAAACCCUUUGUGAACAUACCUUUUUGUUGCUUCGGCGGGAUCGCCCCGGCUCUGCCCGGAACCAGGCGCCCGCCGGAGGUACGCAAACUCUUGUCUUCAGUAUAUUCUUCUGAGUGGCAAACGCAAAAUAAAUCAAAACUUUCAACAACGGAUCUCUUGGCUCUGGCAUCGAUGAAGAACGCAGC